AUUGAACGCUGGCGGCAUGCUUUACACAUGCAAGUCGAACGGCAGCGCGGGCUUCGGCCUGGCGGCGAGUGGCGAACGGGUGAGUAAUGCAUCGGAACGUGCCCAGUAGUGGGGGAUAGCCCGGCGAAAGCCGGAUUAAUACCGCAUACGACCUGAGGGUGAAAGCGGGGGACCGAAAGGCCUCGCGCUAUUGGAGCGGCCGAUGUCGGAUUAGCUAGUUGGUGGGGUCAAGGCUUACCAAGGCGACGAUCCGUAGCUGGUCUGAGAGGACGACCAGCCACACUGGGACUGAGACACGGCCCAGACUCCUACGGGAGGCAGCAGUGGGGAAUUUUGGACAAUGGGGGCAACCCUGAUCCAGCCAUGCCGCGUGCGGGAAGAAGGCCUUCGGGUUGUAAACCGCUUUUGUUCGGGAAGAAAUCCUCUGGGCUAAUACCCCGGGGGGAUGACGGUACCGGAAGAAUAAGCACCGGCUAACUACGUG
Molecule: ribosomal RNA, 484 nt
Filed under: uncultured bacterium
Lineage: Bacteria
Description: partial 16S ribosomal RNA
Rfam family: Bacterial small subunit ribosomal RNA
Source: RNAcentral